UCCCGGAUUCCUCCAUCUUCUUCUUCCUGUACGAAGGACUGAGCAUCUUGAACGAUUCAAUUGCUUCAGGGGACUGGAGAGGCACUUCCUCACCUUCAUUGAGGGAUUUGCGUGCGAAUUCGGCUUCAGGGGAGAGGAUCUCCUCCCAUGGCGCCCAACCUCUUUUGAUCCAAUUCUCCCGACGGGCUUCGUCCUCGGACAUCUUUUCUUUGGGGGCGAAGUUCUUCAAGAAUUCCUCGUCGACGGGGAGCUCAUCCGGAGCGUAUGAUGGCGUGGCAUUCAGAGAAACGAGCCCAUUCGCGCCUUUCCGGCGGCGGUGGAGAUCGAAGUGAUGAUCAUUUCUGUGGAUGAGGGGAAAUCUUGGGAAAUGUGCUAGGGUUUGUGUGGAGAAGAAGAUCGGAGAUUGGAGAUGAAGC
This 416-nucleotide long non-coding RNA is filed under the name Zostera marina. RNAcentral's name for it is "long non-coding RNA (ZMAR_LNC005424)". The record is from RNAcentral. Lineage: Eukaryota; Viridiplantae; Streptophyta; Magnoliopsida; Alismatales; Zosteraceae.